GGAAGUAAAAGCCGUAACAAGGUCUCCGUUGGUGAACCAGCGGAGGGAUCAUUACCGAGUUUACAACUCCCAAACCCCUGUGAACAUACCAUUUGUUGCCUCGGCGGUGCCUGCUUCGGCAGCCCGCCAGAGGACCCAAACCCUUGAUUUUAUACAGUAUCUUCUGAGUAAAUGAUUAAAUAAAUCAAAACUUUCAACAACGGAUCUCUUGGUUCUG
RNAcentral lists this unclassified non-coding RNA (217 nucleotides) under plant metagenome. RNAcentral describes it as "partial contains small subunit ribosomal RNA, internal transcribed spacer 1, and 5.8S ribosomal RNA". The stretch from base 1 to 54 matches the Rfam family "Eukaryotic small subunit ribosomal RNA", at positions 1778 to 1831 of the family's 1831-position model. The record is from RNAcentral.